RNAcentral lists this ribosomal RNA (301 nucleotides) under uncultured bacterium. RNAcentral describes it as "partial 16S ribosomal RNA". It matches the Rfam family "Bacterial small subunit ribosomal RNA", at positions 509 to 809 of the family's 1533-position model. The record is from RNAcentral.
CAGCCGCCGCGGUAAUACGAAGGGGGCUAGCGUUGUUCGGAUUUACUGGGCGUAAAGCGCACGUAGGCGGACUUUUAAGUCAGGGGUGAAAUCCCGGGGCUCAACCCCGGAACUGCCUUUGAUACUGGAAGUCUUGAGUAUGGUAGAGGUGAGUGGAAUUCCGAGUGUAGAGGUGAAAUUCGUAGAUAUUCGGAGGAACACCAGUGGCGAAGGCGGCUCACUGGACCAUUACUGACGCUGAGGUGCGAAAGCGUGGGGAGCAAACAGGAUUAGAUACCCUUGUAGUCCCUGUCUCUUAUAU